AGAAUCAACGCUGGCGGCGUGCCUAACACAUGCAAGUCGAACGCGAAAGGGGAGCAAUCCCUGAGUAGAGUGGCAAACGGGUGAGUAACACGUGGGUGACCUGCCUUCGAGUGGGGGAUAACGUCCCGAAAGGGACGCUAAUACCGCAUGACAUCCUGUCUUUGGACAGACGAGAUCAAAGCUGGGGAUCGCAAGACCUGGCGCUUGAAGAGGGGCCCACGCCUGAUUAGCUAGUUGGUGAGGUAACGGCUCACCAAGGCUACGAUC
This 267-nucleotide ribosomal RNA is filed under the name uncultured soil bacterium. Its description in RNAcentral is "partial 16S ribosomal RNA". It matches the Rfam family "Bacterial small subunit ribosomal RNA", at positions 26 to 281 of the family's 1533-position model. The record is from RNAcentral.